This 494-nucleotide ribosomal RNA is filed under the name marine sediment bacterium ISA-1218. RNAcentral describes it as "bacterial SSU rRNA". It matches the Rfam family "Bacterial small subunit ribosomal RNA", at positions 37 to 514 of the family's 1533-position model. The record is from RNAcentral.
UGGCGGCGUGCCUAAUACAUGCAAGUCGAGCGGACAGAAGGGAGCUUGCUCCCGGAUGUUAGCGGCGGACGGGUGAGUAACACGUGGGUAACCUGCCUGUAAGACUGGGAUAACUCCGGGAAACCGGAGCUAAUACCGGAUAGUUCCUUGAACCGCAUGGUUCAAGGAUGAAAGACGGUUUCGGCUGUCACUUACAGAUGGACCCGCGGCGCAUUAGCUAGUUGGUGAGGUAACGGCUCACCAAGGCGACGAUGCGUAGCCGACCUGAGAGGGUGAUCGGCCACACUGGGACUGAGACACGGCCCAGACUCCUACGGGAGGCAGCAGUAGGGAAUCUUCCGCAAUGGACGAAAGUCUGACGGAGCAACGCCGCGUGAGUGAUGAAGGUUUUCGGAUCGUAAAGCUCUGUUGUUAGGGAAGAACAAGUGCAAGAGUAACUGCUUGCACCUUGACGGUACCUAACCAGAAAGCCACGGCUAACUACGUGCCAGCAG